Molecule: RNA transcript, 2135 nt
Organism: Xenia sp. Carnegie-2017
Lineage: Eukaryota; Metazoa; Cnidaria; Anthozoa; Malacalcyonacea; Xeniidae
Exons: 11
Source: RefSeq, a predicted model, not a curated record
AUCAGUAUCUUUGAGUGUUAUUAGCACGAAUGAAGAACUUAAGAAAAUGUGAUAAAGAUCAAUGCAAACCGCAUGGCAGUGGUAAAAUUUGCAAGACUAGAAACAUUUCACUUUGGCGAAAAAUUUUUUUGAUGAGAUCAGAUGUGAAAAUGACACAUCCAAGGACAUCAAGUUUGGGCCGUUUGACUCUUCUUAUCUUGGUUGUGUUGUGUGUUGGGAUGCAGAAAGAAGUUGGUCGUAAGAAGAUUGAAAUGUGUCAAGAGCAAUAUGAUCAGCUAGAAAAUGAUGUGAAAUUGUGGAAAGGGAGAUGCGUGAAUCAAAAUGGCACCUAUAAUAAUAGCAUCAGAUGCAACGAAGAAAAGGAGUACAACAAGGAAAGAAUGAAAUCUUACACGGAAAUAUGUUUCUACAACUAUGGAACUUAUCCCGGUACAUACCUGUUCUUGUUGACAAAAACGACGAUUGAUUCCAUCGAUCUUCUAACAAAACAUGUCUCAAAAGGUGUUAUCAGUGGACUGACAACAAGUAAUACCAUGGAUAUUGAUAUUGUUGAUCGCAAGGUUUAUUUUAGCGACAAAGACGACAUAAAAAGGGCAAAUUUUUAUGGUACCAACGUCGAAAUGUUCGUAAAAAACGCCAAAGCCAAAGAUAUGACAAUUGACUGGAUUUGUCGUCGUUUGCUUUAUGUUGACGGUGGAGAAAUAAUUUAUAUGAUCGAUUUAUAUGAUAAGAACGCGGUGGAGUUUAAAACCAAGUCGUACUUGAACGGAAUAGCAAUGGAUCCUAUAAAAGGGAUAGUGAAUGUUGUCAGUUAUCGGCGUUGUAACAAAAGGAUUGUUUGUAUUUGGACGAUAUCUGAUAAAAAUCCAUUCUCGUCAAUGUUUACUGCUGAUGUACGCGACGUGUUUUUUGAUGUGGAGAACGAAAAACUGUACUACAUUAUACCCAAUGGACUCUUAUCACGUAGUUAUGUAAAUAAUCAAUCAACAUGGAAUACAAUGGACUACACUGCGACAAAAAUGGUAGCAAAUGCUAAGUUUUUGUACUUGUUGGAAGAUGCAAAUGAUUUUAUCCAUGUUCAUGAUGGAUCAAGCAUUCGUACGAAGGAAGCGUUUGACAUCCCCAAAGCUACAUAUCUUGAUAUAGCUUUAAUGAACAGCAAUACACAAGAGAUUACGUCACGUGGUCGUCAAGGUAACUGCUGCGUAUUGAACAACGAGACAAGGUUUGUGCUCGAUGAAGUGCAAUGUACAGUGGCGGGACUGGAACCGUCUAAAGCGAAAUCUUACUCCAUUAUGAUUUUGAGAAAACGGUAGAUAAAAGGUGUUGGAUCAGUCAAUUUAUCAGAGAAAUGCGACAAUAUAUGACCAAUAUUUGAACCUAACUAGUGGAAAGUGUAACAAUGGCGUAUUGUUGAACCAUAGACCUUUAAGAUUUAGAGAUUUGUCUUCUGGUGUUGGUAACAUUUCAAGUUUUAAUAUAACUAUUGCAGCUUGGAUUUAUUUAAAUGAGUUUUAUGUUUUGAAAGCAAAGGAAAAAUGUCCACUUUGUAACAGAACCAUCCCAUGUAAAAAGUCUGCUGAUGACAGAACACUUUUUUCAAGUUUUAUGCACCUAAAUCCCAAUGACAUAUUUUUCAAAUUUGAAGUCGGGAAAGAUGGAUAUCUUCGUUGGUAUUUCUUGUUUGAAAAACCCUUUAAGCUUCAUGAAAUUAAAUCUAGGAUAAAGCUUGGUGUUUGGCACCACGUUGCUGUCAGCUUCACCUUCUUUCGAGGACAAACAAAUUGCACAUUUUUCAUCAAUGGCACAGAGUUUCAAAGUAAAUCCUUACAUACUGAUAAGUACAACAAAACGUUGACGAACGUACGAAUUGGUCCUCUUGGUAGACUCAAUUUCAUUGGUACCUCUGGUGCCUGUGGUGUAAAGCCAUUCAGUGGUGUUAUUGAUGAUCUUUACGUGUUGAACAUCUCCAUGUCUCGUGAGGAAAUUCGUCGUUUAAUGAUGACGCCUUGCGAAAAAAGCAAAUACUACAGAACCUAUCCUUCCUGCGAGCUUUUUUACUACGCGUCGUCAACCUUGGAACUGCGCGAGUCGAAGCAGCCACAGCUUAAAAGAAGCGUUGAAACAUCUCUAUG